AGGUCUCCGAGGGCUGCUCCGUCCCCUUCCUCCACAUGGGCGACUGCGUGGCCAGCGAGCUCAGGGAGGCGGGCUUGAGGCCGGUUGAAGCAGGAAGCAACGUCCGGAUCGGCGUUCUUGCCACUGGCUCGGCGUUGAUUGCAGCCGUCUACCAAGAGAAGGUUCAGAAUCUGGUAAGAAAACCAAAAAAAAAAUUUUCUGUCGUAGUAAAACUGUGUUUCCAUUAGUAUUCAGCAUGGUUUUUUUGUAUAUCUAGGGAAAAAUUAUUUCACCAUGGUGCAUGAUCACUAUCAUCCGCAAUGGUCUUAUGAACUUCUCCAAGGAUUUCUUUUUAUCAGUCGGAUCAUUUCCAAAAUCUUCAGCAUUAAAAAAAUCUCUCGAAUUUAUAAAAAAAGUGAGAAAAAAAGAAAACCCAUCUCUACUGUUCGUCUCGGUUUAAUCCUCAGUUUGAUCUUCAUAAUGCUUGUCUGAUAAACUUCUGAUCGGAAAAAUUAUUCAUCUUCAUAAAUGAUCUAGCCCUGCAGUCCAUUAUUAAAUCACGGAUUUACUGAAAAUGGGUUUAUUUGGUCUGCUCACCUGGGAAAUCCUGUUGGAUCUUCCUCCAGUGAAGCUUGUUGACAUCUGAAUCCGAGCUCUGAUCAUGGAAAUGACCUCUGAUCAUGAUUUCUGCAGGGAUAUGAAGCUGUUUUACCGGAUAAGGCCACGGUGGAGCACACGGUCAUACCUGCAGUUGAAGCGCUGAGCAGGAGGGACAUGGAGGGAGCAAGAACUCUGUUGAGAAUAACCCUGCAUGUUCUUCUGGUGAAGGCAGUGAACAUGAUCAUCCUUGCCUCUGAUGAUCUGCGGGGUCUCCUCCCCCAGGAUGACCCCCUCCUCAAGAGAUGCGUUGACCCAUUAGAGGCUCUAGCGAGGUCAACCAUAGAGUG
Molecule: long non-coding RNA, 926 nt
Filed under: Spirodela polyrhiza (greater duckweed)
Lineage: Eukaryota; Viridiplantae; Streptophyta; Magnoliopsida; Alismatales; Araceae
Description: long non-coding RNA (SPOL_LNC002558)
Source: RNAcentral